This is a long non-coding RNA of Myripristis murdjan (pinecone soldierfish), 749 nucleotides long. RefSeq lists it as uncharacterized. The transcript has 2 exons. The record is from RefSeq and is a predicted model, not a curated record. NCBI's taxonomy places the organism in Eukaryota, Metazoa, Chordata, Actinopteri, Holocentriformes, Holocentridae.
CAGCAGCCAUUUUGACAUGACAUAGCAGGAUGAACCCAGGUGUUACUGAUGACUUUAAUUCAGGUCCCACAGGGGAAGGCUCAUGUUGGAUCGCUGGAAAGUCUCUGCAACAGUUAAAUGAUUUGCACUGUCCUGAGCUGGACUGAACUGAACGUAUACCUAAGUGAGAAGCUGGGGCGAGGAAGUUUCCAGGAUGGUGGGGUGGAUGGCCGAAUGGACCUGCUGAUGGGUGUGUUGGACCUGAUGAGGGAAAGACAAAGUGUCAGAGAAAGAAUAUUAUUGUCCAGUGUAUAAAAUCCCAAACGUUUGCCGCUAGUAGGCAAAGAUGAAAAAAAAAAAAUCGAUUUGACCCAAGUCUGGCAUAAAUACUUAAAAUGAUACAUAGAUCAAACUCUGCCCUCAGAGGAAUAGAUUGUGUAAAAACAUCUAGUCCACCUCACCCCUCCCAGCUGAAAAUAAUUCACUCUGUUGAGAGGAAUCAAUCAAUCCCACCCUCCAGAGCUCUGACACACACUCACCUGCUGCGGAGAAGAGUGUGGCGGGUCGCGCCAAGUCAUGGGGGUGAUGGAUGGCGCCAAAGAGGCUCGGGCCCGGAGGUCGACUCAGGAACUCAGGCUUGAGGCCGAAGUCCAGCUUGUGAGGGUCGACCUGCAUCUGCUGCUGGAAGAUCGCAGAUUGGGACACACACACACACAAAAAAAAAACACACACACACACAUACAUCAAACACCAAUACAAGCAACACACAA